Rosa rugosa (rugosa rose) is the source of this 925-nucleotide long non-coding RNA. RefSeq lists it as uncharacterized. The transcript is spliced from 7 exons. The record is from RefSeq and is a predicted model, not a curated record. Lineage: Eukaryota; Viridiplantae; Streptophyta; Magnoliopsida; Rosales; Rosaceae.
CUUUCGCGAUAUUUCAUUUUAGGCUCUUUCUCUCGCCUCUUUCUUCUCUACCGCUCUAGUCAUCAAGGAGCCGAAUCGCACCGCAAGAACAUCAAGCACAGCCUCAUCGAGAUUGCCAAGAUCAUGAAGACCAUAUCGAUGGCCAAGGAUCUGAGUGGGACUGUGAAGGAGAAACUCUCAGUUGUGUGCACGAUCAACGACAAGGACCCCAAGGAUUUUCAGCAAGAGAUUACUGACGGUGAUGUUGAGUGAAUGGAUGAGCUUGUUCAUGGCGGUAACUUGAGAAGAACAUCAGGUUUGUGCUCCUACAGCAAAGGGAAGAAGUCCAGAUCUGAUCAUGUUCUUUCUGCACUUUCAAAUAUUAAGAAUGAUCUGGAGUAGGUGCUACUGGUCAUAUUGGGAGACAAGGGAUUUGCAGCUGUUUGCUUCAUUGUUUUUACAUGCAUGCUAAACCAUUCCUUCCAGCCAAAUCGUUUCCUCCAUUAAUUGGCGGUUCAAGGAUUGUAUGCUUGAAGUAAUGAUAAAAGCUGAACAACGGAUUAAGAAAGGUGAUGAGUUUCUUGCAGUCUUCUAUUCCCAAUACACUGCAUUCAUUGGUGAAAUUGGACUACGUGGUGAACUUCACUCGUGAUUGUGUGGGAAUAGUUCAUUAAGAAACGGUCCUGGUAAUCUGGUAUGUGCAGGUGGAAGUUCUUUUGGCGGUUGUCAAUUGAGUUGCAAACACCAUCAGUGCUUUCGCAAUAAUUGAUGUUGGUGCUGGUCAGGUAGUCUUGCUCUUUUAUAUAUUGCAUUUGUUAUGUAUGUAUAUAUAUAUCAUCUGCAUGGCAUGCUCUGGAUUUUCUCUUUGUUCUUUGUAACGUAAGUAUACAUUGAUCUUCCUUUAUAUCAUAUGCAUGGCAUGCUCUAGAUUUUCUCUUUGUUCUUU